CGCGGCCUAUCAGCUUGUUGGUGGGGUAACGGCCCACCAAGGCAUCGACGGGUAGCUGGUCUGAGAGGACGAUCAGCCACACUGGGACUGAGACACGGCCCAGACUCCUACGGGAGGCAGCAGUGGGGAAUAUUGCGCAAUGGGCGAAAGCCUGACGCAGCAACGCCGCGUGGGGGAUGACGGCCUUCGGGUUGUAAACCCCUUUCAGCAGGGGCGAAAAUGACGGUACCUGCAGAAGAAGCCCCGGCCAACUACGUGCCAGCAGCCGCGGUAACACGUAGGGGGCGAGCGUUGUCCGGAUUUAUUGGGCGUAAAGAGCUCGUAGGCAGUUGCGUAAGUCGGAUGUGAAAACUCAGGGCUCAACCCGGAGACGCCAUCCGAUACUGCGCUGACUAGAGUCCGGUAGGGGAGCAUGGAAUUCCUGGUGUAGCGGUGAAAUGCGCAGAUAUCAGGAGGAACACCAGCGGCGAAGGCGGUGCUCUGGGCCGGAACUGACGCUGAGGAGCGAAAGCGUGGGUAGCAAACAGGAUUAGAUACCCUGGUAGUCCACGCCGUAAACGUUGGGCACUAGGUGUGGGGCCUACUUAACGGGUUCCGUGCCGUAGCUAACGCAUUAAGUGCCCCGCCUGGGGAGUACGG
RNAcentral lists this ribosomal RNA (639 nucleotides) under uncultured Actinomycetes bacterium. RNAcentral describes it as "bacterial SSU rRNA". It matches the Rfam family "Bacterial small subunit ribosomal RNA", at positions 232 to 885 of the family's 1533-position model. Lineage: Bacteria; Bacillati; Actinomycetota; Actinomycetes. The record is from RNAcentral.